This is a long non-coding RNA of Gavialis gangeticus (Gharial), 279 nucleotides long. RefSeq lists it as uncharacterized. The record is from RefSeq and is a predicted model, not a curated record. The transcript is spliced from 3 exons. Lineage: Eukaryota; Metazoa; Chordata; Crocodylia; Gavialidae.
UGUAAGGUAGUGCACCACCCUUCUCUCCUUCAAGCAAACUAUUCUUUUUAGGAUCAUCAGGAAAAUAUGGGGGUAGUCAAUCAAUCAGAAAGGCUUAACACUCUUCUUAACCUUCUCACACUCAAUACUCAACCUUCUCACACUCCUCUAUACCUUCAAUACUUUGGAGAACAUCUCCACGUAGGGACAAUUUUCAAUUAUGCCUCUUUUUUUCAGUGCUAUUUGAGUAAAUGGGACACCACAGGGAUGUUCUUUGUUCAUUUUACUGAUGUAAACCAG